This 133-nucleotide small nuclear RNA is filed under the name Panthera leo (lion). RNAcentral's name for it is "U2 spliceosomal RNA (ENSPLOG00000011354.1)". It matches the Rfam family "U2 spliceosomal RNA". Rfam says of the family: U2 is a small nuclear RNA (snRNA) component of the spliceosome (involved in pre-mRNA splicing). Lineage: Eukaryota; Metazoa; Chordata; Mammalia; Carnivora; Felidae. The record is from RNAcentral.
AUCGCUUCUCGGCCUUUUGGCUAAGAUCAAGUGUAGAUGUCAGAGCAUUUAUAAUUCAAAUAAUGGAUUUAUAUUGCUUUAAGGUCUGCUUUUUUAGAAUUUUCUAUCUCCAUUGAGUCCCAGUAAAUCCCCU